Poecilia reticulata (guppy) is the source of this 2078-nucleotide non-coding RNA. Lineage: Eukaryota; Metazoa; Chordata; Actinopteri; Cyprinodontiformes; Poeciliidae. The record is from RefSeq and is a predicted model, not a curated record.
GUGUGUGUGUGUGUGUGUGUGUGUGUGUGUGUGUUCCUGUGUUGGUGCCACGUUUAUAAAAAAAAUGUGUUAAUUUGCCAUCUCUUAGUUCAUGAACCAAUCCGCUGUUUGGAAUGUGACGCUUCGCUACAACUUUCUCGCUUACUCGUUUGCCCUGUGCAUAAAGCAAGUUUUGAAAUGACAUAUACAGAAACGGUGCAACUCCGUAGGUAGUGUGCUUGUGUGCAUUCAGCUAGCUGGUUUUCAAAAUUCUGAUGUUUGCGUUUAAUCACUGGGUCUCUUCGGGUUUUCUAGGCUACAAAUCGGAAGUCCCAUUUCAUGUUAUUGUUUGUUUAAUUUAACUGAGAUUUUAAAAGGAAGUGUGGUGAAAAAAAAAAAAGAAACGAAAACCAAGACCAGCUCCCGUGUUGUUUGUAUUGGAGAAAGUAGGUUGGAUGUGCAGAGAGACGCUAAUUAAAAGCUGGACUCGGCAGACUGUUCAGAGCUGCAGGUUUAACUUGUCAUAUCAAGAGGAAGUGAUUACAAACCGUAGCGUGGCUUCCUUCCACGCAGGUUUCCCGCCUGCAAGCGAAGCAGCAGCAGUCCAGACUGUUUUCUAACUCACUGUUCAAAGUACAAAGCAAGAAUAAACCGCGAUCAUUUCACUGUUUGGUUCUUUUUUUUGUUGUUGUAGUUUUUAAAGUUAAAAUUACUGUCUGUUCAAAAGAAAAACUAAAUUAAAUGUUGCGAUCUACAGUAAAACAUAUGGUUUACAGGAAAAAAAGAAAGCUUUUUGUUAUUUUUUAAAAUAAAUUUGCAUCAUUCAUACACGGGAAAACUCACAUUCACAGCAAACAUCGUUUCAAUGCACUUUCCAAGACAAACUGAUCCACUUUUCACACAGAAGUAAGUCCAACUCAAUCAAACAUUUUCAAAUUCAAUUAUGUCCUAGUUUUAAACACCUUGGUUUAUUUCAGGGGUAAAAAAAUGUUUUGCUUACAUCUGGCGUGUCCAGACUUCGUCACUUCGGCCAAAACUGUCAACUAAAAUGUGCUGACGGGACAAAAAAGUUACAUUUUUAAUAACUGAAAUCGCCAAAAAUGUUACAUUUUUAAAUGUAUUUUAAUUAAAUUAAAGUUUUUGGUCAUUGUUGUUUUUUUGUUUUUUUAUGGGAACCAGAUCAUAGAUCUAAAACUUGCUAAAUGACUUCCAGUUUGCUUGUAAUUUUGAAGAAAAUUGAGAAAAAAUAUUAAUCUGUUCUCAUCAGCAAAACAGGAUCUAUGUCAGUCUUUAUUUCAAAACAUUUGCUGUAUUUAGUCAAGUUUUUAUGCAGCGUUUAAAAGCAGGUUUGGGUCCAUCAAAGUGAACUGUAGCAGUCAUGUCAAUGAGUGGAUGUGUGCUCCAGGUUGCCAUGACAACAGGAGAAACUCAGAAAGCUUGGAAAAGGUGAUCACUGUGUUGCAUCAAACAUUUUUUGUGUGUGGAUUUGAGUUUAUAGGUCUUGGUUUUGUCCUAAUUUAUUUCAUUUAUGUUUGUUAAAAAUCAGCCCAUCAGCAGCAGAACUGAGAGAAAAUAAAACCACAGAAUCACCGAUUCAGAAGUUCUUUCUACAUUAAAUCAUAAUAAUUAUUAUUUAUAGCAGUAGAAUCUCCUUCAGCGGUUUCACAGAGGAGAGAAAACGCCGCCCUUCUGAUGCACUUUGACCCGGAUUUUAAAAAGGCUUCGUGUGAAUUCUGCACUUACAUUAAUAAUAUGUGAUUUAAAUGUUUUUUUGUUUGUUUGUUUGUUUUUUCAUCUGACUGUGUUAAGCCUUCAGAAAAUAUGACUCAUAAAAUCAGACAUGUGGCCAUCCAUCCAUCGUUUAUUUUCUACGACUCUUCCAGUAGUCGGAGUGAAAUGUGGAACCGGACAUUUCAACAAUCCAUCACAGAGACCUGCAGUCCACUUUAUGUAAGUAUUAUGUGUCUCACUAAAGUAAUCUGCAAUAACAGUAAUUAAUCUAAGUGUUAAUAUGUAAACGUAAGCAGGAAGGCAUUCGGUGUUUACCUUCAGGAUGUCCAGAGACGUUUAGCAUGCAUUAGUUUUUUCUGACUUCUGCA